UUAAUUGAAGAGUUUGAUCAUGGCUCAGAUUGAACGCUGGCGGCAGGCCUAACACAUGCAAGUCGAGCGGCAGCACAAGGGAGUUUACUCCUGAGGUGGCGAGCGGCGGACGGGUGAGUAAUGCCUAGGGAUCUGCCCAGUCGAGGGGGAUAACAGUUGGAAACGACUGCUAAUACCGCAUACGCCCUACGGGGGAAAGAGGGGGACCUUCGGGCCUC
This 218-nucleotide ribosomal RNA is filed under the name Shewanella xiamenensis. RNAcentral describes it as "partial 16S ribosomal RNA". It matches the Rfam family "Bacterial small subunit ribosomal RNA", at positions 1 to 216 of the family's 1533-position model. Lineage: Bacteria; Pseudomonadati; Pseudomonadota; Gammaproteobacteria; Alteromonadales; Shewanellaceae. The record is from RNAcentral.